RNAcentral lists this ribosomal RNA (688 nucleotides) under Arthrobacter koreensis. RNAcentral's name for it is "bacterial SSU rRNA". It matches the Rfam family "Bacterial small subunit ribosomal RNA", at positions 481 to 1167 of the family's 1533-position model. The record is from RNAcentral. Lineage: Bacteria; Bacillati; Actinomycetota; Actinomycetes; Micrococcales; Micrococcaceae.
GACUAAGAAGCGCCGGCUAACUACGUGCCAGCAGCCGCGGUAAUACGUAGGGCGCAAGCGUUAUCCGGAAUUAUUGGGCGUAAAGAGCUCGUAGGCGGUUUGUCGCGUCUGCUGUGAAAGCCCGGGGCUCAACCCCGGGUCUGCAGUGGGUACGGGCAGACUAGAGUGCAGUAGGGGAGACUGGAAUUCCUGGUGUAGCGGUGAAAUGCGCAGAUAUCAGGAGGAACACCGAUGGCGAAGGCAGGUCUCUGGGCUGUAACUGACGCUGAGGAGCGAAAGCAUGGGGAGCGAACAGGAUUAGAUACCCUGGUAGUCCAUGCCGUAAACGUUGGGCACUAGGUGUGGGGGACAUUCCACGUUUUCCGCGCCGUAGCUAACGCAUUAAGUGCCCCGCCUGGGGAGUACGGCCGCAAGGCUAAAACUCAAAGGAAUUGACGGGGGCCCGCACAAGCGGCGGAGCAUGCGGAUUAAUUCGAUGCAACGCGAAGAACCUUACCAAGGCUUGACAUGAACCGGUAAGACCUGGAAACAGGUCCCCCACUUGUGGCCGGUUUACAGGUGGUGCAUGGUUGUCGUCAGCUCGUGUCGUGAGAUGUUGGGUUAAGUCCCGCAACGAGCGCAACCCUCGUUCUAUGUUGCCAGCGGGUUAUGCCGGGGACUCAUAGGAGACUGCCGGGGUCAACUCGGA